Molecule: ribosomal RNA, 536 nt
Filed under: uncultured Phialocephala
Lineage: Eukaryota; Fungi; Ascomycota; Leotiomycetes; Helotiales
Description: eukaryotic LSU rRNA
Rfam family: 5.8S ribosomal RNA (bases 187-340)
Source: RNAcentral
UCCGUAGGUGAACCUGCGGAAGGAUCAUUACCCAAAAGGAUACCCUCGUGGUAUACCCCACCCGUGUCUAUCUACUCUUGUUGCUUUGGCAGGCCGUGGUCUUCCACUGUGGGCUCUGCCUGCAUGUGCCUGCCAGAGGACCAAACUCUGAAUUUUAGUGAUGUCUGAGUACUAUAUAAUAGUUAAAACUUUCAACAACGGAUCUCUUGGUUCUGGCAUCGAUGAAGAACGCAGCGAAAUGCGAUAAGUAAUGUGAAUUGCAGAAUUCAGUGAAUCAUCGAAUCUUUGAACGCACAUUGCGCCCUGUGGUAUUCCGCAGGGCAUGCCUGUUCGAGCGUCAUUACAACCAAAAUUAAGCCUAGCUUAGUGUUGGGGUUCGCAGUUCUGCGGCCCUUAAUAUCAGUGGCGGUGCCUGUAGGCUCUGAGCGUAGUAAUUCUUCUCGCUAUAGAGCCCUAUAAGUAUCUUGCCAGAACCCCCAUAUUUUUUCAGGUUGACCUCGGAUCAGGUAGGGAUACCCGCUGAACUUAAGCAUAUC